This 513-nucleotide ribosomal RNA is filed under the name uncultured bacterium. RNAcentral's name for it is "bacterial SSU rRNA". It matches the Rfam family "Bacterial small subunit ribosomal RNA", at positions 8 to 523 of the family's 1533-position model. The record is from RNAcentral.
AGAGUUUGGAUCCUGGCUCAGGAUGAACGCUGGCGGCGUGCCUAAUACAUGCAAGUCGAGCGGUAAGGUUCUCACUCUGUACUUAAUUUUUUGAGUAUGGUGUGAGAACACACGAGCGGCGGACGGCUGAGUAAUGCACAGGAACGUACCCUAAAGUGAGGCAUAAUCCGCCGAAAGGCGGACUAAUACCGCAUGUGGUCUUCGGAUUAAAGCCUUCGGGCGCUUUGGGCACGGCCUGUGUCCGAUUAGCUUGUUGGUGAGGUAAUAGCUCACCAAGGCGAUGAUCGGUAGCUGGUCUGAGAGGAUGAUCAGCCAGACUGGGACUGAGACACGGCCCAGACUCCUACGGGAGGCAGCAGUAGGGAAUCUUCCACAAUGGGCGAAAGCCUGAUGGAGCAACGCCGCGUGCAGGAUGAAGGCCUAUGGGUCGUAAACCUCUUUUCUCAGGGAUGAAAAAAAUGACAGUACCUGAGGAAUAAGUCACGGCUAACUACGUGCCAGCAGCCGCGGUAA